This 253-nucleotide ribosomal RNA is filed under the name uncultured bacterium. Its description in RNAcentral is "partial 16S ribosomal RNA". It matches the Rfam family "Bacterial small subunit ribosomal RNA", at positions 524 to 776 of the family's 1533-position model. The record is from RNAcentral.
GACGGAGGGCGCAAGCGUUAAUCGGAUUCAUUGGGCGUAAAGGGCGCGUAGGCGGAAAUGUUAGUCAGAUGUGAAAUCCCGGGGCUCAACUCCGGAACGGCAUUUGAAACUGCAUUCCUUGAGGGUAGAAGGAGAGAACGGAAUUCCACGUGUAGCGGUGAAAUGCGUAGAUAUGUGGAAGAACACCAGUGGCGAAGGCGGUUCUCUAUUUUAUUCCUGACGCUGAGGCGCGAAAGCAAGGGGAUCAAACAGG